GACGAACGCUGGCGGCGUGCCUAACACAUGCAAGUCGAGCGAAUGAAGUUCCUUCGGGAAUGGAUUUAGCGGCGGACGGGUGAGUAACACGUGGGCAACCUGCCUCAUAGAGGGGAAUAGCCUUCCGAAAGGGAGAUUAAUACCGCAUAAGAUUGUAGUACCGCAUGAUACAGCAAUUAAAGGAGCAAUCCGCUAUGAGAUGGGCCCGCGGCGCAUGAGCUAGUUGGUGAGGUAACGGUUCACCAAGGCGACGAUGCGUAGCCGACCUGAGAGGGUGAUCGGCCACAUUGGGACUGAGACACGGCCCAGACUCCUACGGGAGGCAGCAGGGGGGAAUAGUGCACAAUGGGGGAAACCCUGAUGCAGCAACGCCGCGUGAGUGAUGACGGCCUUCGUGUUGUAAAGCUCUGUCUUCAGGGACGAUAAUGACGGUACCUGAGGAGGAAGCCACGGCUAACUACGUGCCAGCCGCCGCAGUAA
This 480-nucleotide ribosomal RNA is filed under the name uncultured bacterium. Its description in RNAcentral is "partial 16S ribosomal RNA". It matches the Rfam family "Bacterial small subunit ribosomal RNA", at positions 28 to 523 of the family's 1533-position model. The record is from RNAcentral.